AACGAACGCUGGCGGCAUGCCUAACACAUGCAAGUCGAACGAGACCUUCGGGUCUAGUGGCGCACGGUUGCGUAACGCGUGGUAACCUGCCCUUAGGUUCGGAAUAACUCCCCGAAAGGGGUGCUAAUACCGGAUAAUGUCUUCGGACCAAAGAUUUAUCGCCUUUGGAUGGGCCCGCGUUGGAUUAGCUAGUUGGUAGGGUAAAAGCCUACCAAGGCGACGAUCCAUAGCUGGUCUGAGAGGAUGAUCAGCCACACUGGGACUGAGACACGGCCCAGACUCCUACGGGAGGCAGCAGUGGGGAAUAGUGGACAAUGGGCGAAAGCCUGAUCCAGCAAUGCCGCGUGAGUGAUGAAGGCCUUAGGGUUGUAAAGCUCUUUUACCCGGGAUGAUAAUGACAGUACCGGGAGAAUAAGCUCCGGCUAACUCCGUG
RNAcentral lists this ribosomal RNA (433 nucleotides) under uncultured bacterium. RNAcentral's name for it is "partial 16S ribosomal RNA". It matches the Rfam family "Bacterial small subunit ribosomal RNA", at positions 29 to 507 of the family's 1533-position model. The record is from RNAcentral.